Molecule: transfer RNA, 120 nt
Filed under: Candidatus Woesearchaeota archaeon
Lineage: Archaea; Nanobdellati; Candidatus Woesearchaeota
Description: tRNA-Leu
Source: RNAcentral
GGGCGUGUAGUUCACCGGUAUAAACUUUUAAGAAAAGUUUAAUCAAAACGGUAAAGAAUAUUCCCUUGGCGUGAAUUAAUCGUUAAGGAGGGGCAGAGGGUUCAAUUCCCUCCACGUCCA